GUCCACGCCCUAAACGAUGAUCACUAGUUGUUCGGAAAGGUGACUUUCUGAGUAACGUAGCUAACGCGUGAAGUGAUCCGCCUGGGGAGUACGGUCGCAAGAUUAAACUCAAAGGAAUUGACGGGGACCCGCACAAGCGGUGGAUGAUGUGGAUUAAUUCGAUGCAACGCGAAAACCUUACCUACCCUUGACAUGCCUGGAAGAUCGCAGAGAUGUGAUUGUGCCUUCGGGGAACCAGGACACAGGUGCUGCAUGGCUGUCGU
This 263-nucleotide ribosomal RNA is filed under the name uncultured bacterium. Its description in RNAcentral is "partial 16S ribosomal RNA". It matches the Rfam family "Bacterial small subunit ribosomal RNA", at positions 793 to 1055 of the family's 1533-position model. The record is from RNAcentral.